CGAGAGGUUUGCUUCUUAUGACCAGCUAUUUGCGAUGUUGCGUGCAGCUGGUGCACCUGGUAUGGCCGUCGCACCUCCUCUUCCUCCUCUCCCACCUCUCCCUCCUCUUUCUGGGCCAUUUGGGAUCCCAUCGGCUGGUUCUCACAACCCGUCGCACCAGUCGGAUGCAAGCCCUGUGACCCCAGCUGGUAGUACGAGCAUGCCUCCGCCGGCCAAUCCUGACCUUCACAGCCUAAGGAGGCAACUU
Molecule: non-coding RNA, 247 nt
Organism: Lolium perenne
Lineage: Eukaryota; Viridiplantae; Streptophyta; Magnoliopsida; Poales; Poaceae
Source: RefSeq, a predicted model, not a curated record